UUUUUCUGGGUUUUAUUCCCUUAGAUCUGGGGGCCAUUAAAUCUUUAAAAUUUACAAGAAACCCAGAAAAUAUUGUGCAGUUUUUGAGUGUAUGAACAUAAUAUAUGUGAAAAGUGGUUGGUUUGAAUUUUUUUGAAGGGGACGAUGAAAAUGAUGAGGGAGAAGAUCAAGAUCAAGAAGAUUGACAACUUGCCUGCAAGGCAAGUGACCUUCUCAAAGAGGAGGAGAGGGAUCUUAAAGAAAGCUGCAGAGUUAUCUGUUCUGUGUGAAUCGGAGGUGGCAGUUGUCAUCUUUUCUGCUACUGGCAAGCUUUUUGAUUAUUCAAGCUCAAGGUACCAGCAACACUUCUUUGACUUUUCCUUCCUUGAAAAAAAUAACCAGUUAGGUAUGAUCAUGAAUCAUGAUGUCUCUGUACUCUGACUUGACUUCUCUCUGUGUAAGUGAGAGAGGGAGAGAAGGGUGGAGGAGAAGAGUGUCUUUAUGGAAAUAUUGGUUCUUUCCUGAAAUUCCAUGGUUUGUUUUUUUGGUCGAAAAUCCAUGUAAAGAAAAAUACAAUGCAGAAUCCGAAAGCUUCUAAAAAGGGGGGAGAGAGAGAGAGAGAGAGAGAGAGAGAGAGAGCUAGAUAGUUGUACUGUAUUUCAAAGGAACUAGUUCGACGAUUACUACCUACCAUAUACUUAAGGAAAGUAAAGUCUACUUUUGAUUAAGACAACUUCUAUGAAACAUUAUUUUAUUAGUUUUCCAUGUUUUCAUCCUUGCUGCUUCAAUCUCAUCAUAUUAGGUGGGGCUUAUACAGUGAAAAAUAUCCUUGUCCCCGUCCAAGGAGUUAAAACUAAUGGUUUCCCUGUGAGAGACACAGUACGAUAGAUUAUCAAUUCAAUCAUACACUUAAAUAAAAAUAUUAGACACAGUAUGUUAGAUUAUCAAUUCAAUUAUACACUCAAAUAAGAAUGUUAGACACAGUAUUCCCACAAACGGCAAACUUUAUACUAGAUUCAUAGUCACACCAUAUAAAAUGAUAUAUAAUAUUCCUUCAAACUUAAGAUAGAGGGGGGGUCGUGUUUGAAAAGGCGUCCUUUCUGUCUCCUCACCUAAAUGUGGUUACAAACAUUGAAUUAUAUGAUUUGUAGUUUUCUUACUAGGAAUAAGUUGAUAUGAUGAUAACUGGGGAAUUCAUCAUAAAGCCUUGAAGACUUUCAGCAGGAAUAUGCACCCAUUUUCUCAAGUAGGGCAAUGGGUGGUGGAGCUAUUACCAUAACAUGUUUUUGCCAUGAAUGCAUGCAUGUGAGGAAGGAAAAAGAGGGAGGAGGGUGAGAAUGAAAUGUUAACUGUGGAAUAAGAAUUUAAAUAUGGUCAUGCUUGCUUUCGGUCAACAAAAAUAAUUAUAAUUUAUAUGUGCAUGCAUGAGAUGAGAGGAAGAAAAAAAAAACAGGGAGGAUGCGCUGAUCAUUUAUGUUUUUUUUUUUUUUUGGUUUAAAAAAAAAAAAAACUAGAAAUACCACCUCUAAGGUGGUCUUAUUUUACUUUUCUCGAAGUACAAUUUGAAAAUGCAAAUUAAGAACAAAAUUAGAUGACAAAGAAAACAAAACACGCGUACUAAUGGCCUUUUUGAUACACAAGUGGAGGUCUAAUCAUUUGUAAUUAUGAAAUUUCUAAUCAAAUUCCAUUGAAAAUUUCAUUUAAAAGUUAAUUUUCUAGGAUUCCAGAACCUAUUAGUUUGUUUGCUUGUUUUAUUUUCUAUUUUUUGGAGCAAAAACAAAAACUAUAAAAACAAAAACAAAAACAAAAACUAUAAAAACGAUUUUACUGAAAUCAACAUACAAUUAAAACUAAAGAAGAAUAAGUGUGUUGUUCUUUAGCCUUAGAUUUUAUUUUAAAUUUUUUUUCAAACUUCUCCAAGUUCCAAGUAGAGCAAUAUUAAAACGUUUGGAAAAGUAUUGCUCUACUUGGUUCUAUUAUACUGAGUUUUCGAAAUAUAUAAUGUACCGAAAGUCAUCGAAAAAACUAUGAUAUGCUAAAACAAAUGAUUCCUUAUGUAGUUAAGUUUCGAGAUGUUAUAUUUAUAUUUGUAUGUUUGAAACUCUAAGGGCUUGAUAUGCGAGGACAUCUUAACACAAGAUAUAGCAUAUGUUGUCUAUUCUUACUCACAUCAAAUUGUAUAUAUUAACGUGCCAAGCGUCCUUAGCCACUUCCACUAAGUUUUUUUCCCCUAGGAGAUCAUUCCUCUUCCCAUUUUAGUAGGUUUCACCACUUCCAUUGCAUCCGUCUAAAUAGUCCGGGAUGUAAAUUUAGGUUGUAGGGUUUUUUUAAGGGCAUGUUUCUCUAAAACCACUAGAGAGUUGUCACGACCCAACUUCACUAGCAAGAUAUUGUCCGCUUUGGGUUUGGGCAAUCACGUUUUUGUUCAUGUACUCAAACUUAUGCUAUUUUUCCCACAAGACAUCUUGGUAGGAAGUCAAGUGCCCACGCAUAUAUGGCACUUCAAUUUUCCAUCCCCGAGGAAUGUGAGAUUGCUCACUGAUCUUGCCCUUCUUGCCUUGCAUCCUUCAUGGAUCACAGGUCUUACAAUCCACCCCUCUUGGGGCUCAGCGUCCUUGCUGGUUCCCUUUCAGUCGGGGUCCAGCUCUAAUACCAUUCUAUCAUGACCCUGCUUCACUAGCAAUAUACUGGCCGAUUUCGGCGUAGGCCCUCACAUUUUUGUUCAUAAGAUCAAACUUAUGCUAUCUUACCCAAAAACCUCUUGAUAGGAUGUCAAGUGCCACACGUAUAUGACACUUCAUUUUCCUCUCCCUGAGGGAUGAGGGAUUGCUCACUGAUCUUACACAUUCUUGUCUUGAAUCAUUCAGGGCUUACAAGUCUUACAAGAGCGCCCAACGUUUGCUUUUGUCAAGGUUCGGUUGCCAAACUAUAUAAUAGUUUACUAAACAACUACUUAUAGGCCCUUCCACUUGUCACUUUUGAAAUACUAAGGUCGGGUUUCGUCCCUGCUCGAGUGGGUCUUGUAGUAGCUAUCUUCUUCCAUUGCACUAAACGGUAAGGAUAUUGGCAUGGCAUUAUGUCACUUGGUUGUUUCUUAGGAUAUGGCUUUGACAGUGUGGCCUAAUUGAUUCCGGAACUUACAAAAUAUUUUGUACAUUUAACUCGUCAUUGUUUAAUAGUGAAUAACGAAUGUUAUUGACUGUUGUUGCGCCCUAGGUUAGAAUUACACAAUACGAGAACCAUAAACAUACGGCUUUUCCUCCUUCUCCACUUGACACACUUCGAUCCUAAGAAUGUUUGGUUUUAAGAAUGAGUGGUUAGCCUUCUAGAAGUAUCGGUUUUCUCCUAACAUGUCUUAAUAUGUCCAUUAGAAUGAGUAGCCAAAGUUGGACUUGAUACAUCGAAAAAGUAUUGGUAACUUCAAUCACAAAGUUACGAAUUAUUACGCUAGUAAUUCCUUUUAUUUGUCUAAACCUAACUUAUAAUCUAACUCUAACUUAGUUGCUAUAAGGAGAGAUGAGAAUAGCUCAAGUGGCUUCAAAUUUGUAUUCAAGUAGGCAAAAAAUUUGGGCGUAGAGAGUGCCACUUAAAAAGAAUUGCGAUUAGCUUGACAUACUGACGGGGCCAAUGGUGUAACAGUUUGUGACGAUACAGUUAUUUUUGUUAUCUCUAGUAUUACUGGCGUCAUAUCACAAGGGUGCAAAAUGCAUUUGACCCUGGAUAUUUUUCCAAUACGUUUGGCAUAUAUGGCCUACAUAGAUUCAGCCAUCCACUGACUAAAAAGGAGGCGAACCAAAGAUAACAAGAUUCAAAACAUAUUGCAAUGAGAUCCAGAGUUGAUGCGAGAGGAAUUUUACUUGACGUUUUGAUUUGCGUAACCAUGCAGCCAGCCAGCCAGCCAUGCAUGCAGCCAGCAAAUAGCUUAACGUACGUUCUCAUUGUGCAUCAGUUUUGGGCCUUUUGGCUGAUUUUACUUGCAACACGACCACAUCUCAAAUAAACGUGUUCAUUUGAUUUCAAAAUCUUAAAAAUCUUACUUGUGAUGAUGGAAUGAAAUCUUGAUUGAUGAUGGGGGUCAGAUUAUUUUUUUCCUUGGGUAAAUUAGUUCCUCUGUUUUUCACUGUUACUGUUGAUGUAUUUUUUUUUGUAAUGCUCUCAGUGAGCGAAGGUAGAGAAUUUUAGUAUUAAAAAAAUUACAGAUUAUUAAAACUCUGAAUAUUCCUUAAAAUUGGUUUCUUAUUGAAAUAGUGCUUCUUAAAAGGAAGCAUACCAUACAAAAGAAAAUAGACAGAAGUGUGCCUCCGUGUUUGUAAACCAGAAUUUUUCAUAAGGAGUUAAUUAUUUUCCUUCUUUUUUUGGUUUCUCAUGUAUGUUUUGUCACAUGUUUUAAUUUGAUCUUCUAUGUCUACUAACUUACACUAGUGAACAUGCCAAUUGAUUGUGUUUUCCUUUUGUGUUGUGAAGUAUGAAGGAUGUUAUUGAAAGAUACCAAGCGCACAUAAAUGGUGCUGAAAAAUUUGACGAACCGUCUAUUGAGUUGCAGGUAAAUGAGUUUAAUGGUUUACCUUUUCCAUUUCGGACAAUACUUCCCUCUUUAUCUAUAAGGAGGAACUCCACCUUUUACCUUAUAUUUUUUAAUUGUCAAAACUGCUUUUUUUUUUCCUUUCACUCUUAAUUAAAAAAGAGAGGACACAUAUCAUUUUGUGAUUAAGCCACAAUAGAAGCGAAGAGUUCCUCCUUACAUAAGGAGGAAAGUUUUGUCCUUCCAUUUCCCCGCUUUAAAUUGUUGUGCAAUUAAUUAUAACAUAUUCUGUGAACUGCACUUUGGACCUUCAAAAUGCGUUUCUAUAGCAUAUAUGAAGGUUCUGAUUGUUUGAACAUAAGACAAAAACACCAUUUUGUUCGUUACACUAAGGCUCGUUUGGGACUACUUCUUUAAAAAGUACGUUUGCUCAUAAGUGCUUUCACUAGAAAAAAAAAAAAAGUGGCAAUAGUCACCAUUAUUUGGUGACAUUUGUGAUUUUAGUCACCCCAACAUUAGUCACCAAAUAAUGGUGGCUGUUGCCAAUUUUUUUUUUUUUGGGUAGUGUUCUAGCAAAAAUGCUUUUAUUAUAAAGAUGUUGAAAUUUUCAUUAAAAAAAAAAGUGCUUUCUAGAAACGCACUUUGGAUUGCUUUUAUAAAAAAUUACGCUUUUAGCCCUUCCAGAAGCACUAAACAAACCUUAGACGUAUGUAUAUAUGCAUGCAGCAGGUCGUCCUCUUGGGCUAAAUAUAUGUAGGUGGAUUUGACAAGUCCAUUUGUAGUGGGACUUAAUUUGGUCUCUACAUAAGAAUUAGCCAAUGAAAAAAUUGGAACAUAGACAUCAACUCAGUCAAUCAGAUUUUUAUAGUUUACUCUUACUGUUAGUUGUGUUCCAACUGUUUUGUUUUUAUUUUUUAAUUAUACACAAGGAAGAUAGUAAAUUCUUUUAAUUUUUAAUUAUUGGUGACAAACUGGCUUAUGUUCUUGUAUGUUUAAGUAAUUAAUUUGAUUCCAUUUUCAAAAUAGAAAAAUUGUAAUCCAUUUUUUUAUAAGCUUUUCAAGUGACAGACAGAUUAGAUUUACCUAAAUGAUGGUUUACGUAAUUCAUUUGAUUCCAUUUUCAAAAUAAAGAAAUCGUAUGUUUAAGUUGUUUCCUUUUCUGGACUGAUGUUUAUAAGCUUUUCAUGUGACAGAGACAGAUUAGAUUACCUAAAUGACGGUUCCAUUUCUCAUUUUAGCCAGAGAAAGAAAACCACAUCAGAUUGAGCAAGGAACUUGAGGAGAAGAGCCGCCAGCUGAGGUAAUAAUUAUUUCAUUCAGGAACUUGUAAGAUAUAUGUGGCUGUUUAGCUGGUAUUAUAUCGUUUGAUGUAUCUGCUGAAAUUGGACUGGCUUGCAACAGGCAGAUGAAAGGAGAGGAUCUUGAAGAGCUGAAUUUUGAUGAGUUGCAGAAGUUAGAACAACUGGUGGAUGCAAGCCUUGGCCGGGUGAUUGAAACUAAGGUCUGCCCUAGCUAAUUUCUUUUCUAUUAAGCAUGGUGCGAAGGCAUCACUCAGUGUUGUGGUUUAGGGCUCAUUUGAGAGUGAUUCUGGAUGCGCUAGAAUCACAUCUGGGAAAAAGCAUAUUCCAUGUGCUUCUCCAUAUAAUCACUUUUAGUGAUUUUAAGUGAUUCUGGGGAGAAGCACCUCUUAUGUGUUUCUUCUUAAAAACACUUAAAAUCACUAACAGUGAUUCUCCAUAAAAGUGAUUAUUGAACUAUCCAGAAUCACUUGCAAACGAGCCCCUAAUGAUUGAAACCGUUGAAUGGUUUAAUGAUCGAAACCGUUGCAAAUGUUCCAUUCCUUUCAGGACGAACUGAUUAUGAGUGAGAUUAUGGCACUUAAAAGAAAGGUUAGACGAUUAAUACGUACUCUGUAAAUGAGAAACAAAUUUCAACUAUUUACAAUAAUCAGGAUUUUAAAAAAAAUAUAUAAAUUAACAUCAAUAAUCAUAACCAAGUUUGGCUCUGGUUUUCUCUUCCAUGCACCGAAUCUAAUUUCAGAGAGCUGAGCUUGUAGAAGCCAACAAACAGCUAAGGCAGAGGGCAAGCAACUACCACAAUCAUGUACAUAUUUCUUCAGGAUUCUUCUUUCUGUUUGUUUUUAAAUGAAAAAAAUGGGUGAUUUUUUUCUUAACUUUGUAUUUUUUUUGCAUAGCAGAUGCUAUCCAGAGGAAAUAUUGGACCUGCGCUUAUGGAGCCGGAGAGGUUGAAUAAUAAUAUUGGUGGUGGAGGAGAAGAAGAAGGCAUGUCAUCUGAAUCUGCUACCUCCACCACCUGCAACAGUGCUCCCAGUCUCUCUCUUGAAGAUGACUCCGACGACGUCACUUUAUCUCUCAAACUGGGGUGAGCUAGCUACUUUUGCUUUGCUAUAUUUUGAUAAUUAUAUGUUUUAUAUAUAUAUAUACACACACACAUAUAUGUUCAUCAAAAUUUUACAUUUUUAUUUUUAUUUUUGUUAUUGAAAAUAAUAGAUGGCUUAUUAGAAUUAUCGUGAGCAUUAUUGCGUAUUAUGGUGGUUCAAAUAAAAUUAAAAUUAAAAUUAAAAUUAAGUUGCCCGCAUUGUUCUAUCGAAAAUACAGAAACUUUCGGUUGCAGGAUUUCAACACAAAAGGGGCUAUUGAAAACAUACAGGGAGGAAAUGUAUUCCACUCUCUCUAGACUAAAACAACAUAACCUGCAUAAAGUCAUAUACAAGUUAAAAUAUCUUCACCAACAAAUGUUGAUGUUGAUGGGCAGUUGCAUUCAUGGUAUUUCAAUUACUCUUCACCUUUUUAAUAAAUUUGCUUAUCACUUUUUAUUUUCUCUGAAUUUCAGGCUUCCAUAAUUUCUCUGGUUAAAAAGUGGAGGGUUGUGAUUGUGUGUAAGAUAAAUAAAGAAAAUCGAGAUAUUGUAAGAUAUCAGUGAUUGUGUGUGUCUUAACUCGAUACAAGAUUGAAAAAUAUUGAGGGGAAAGUAACUUGUGUUGUAUCUAAACCUAUGUAUUUUAUGCAACCUGACAUAUUGCUCUUUGACUUGUAUUGUCUUUAGAACUCUGUAUCAAUGCAGCCUGCUUUGGAGACUCUUGUGGACUUUGUAUUUGCUUGGGUUAUCAAUGUAAAUUGGAGCAUGUCUCAUAGAGCUUAUAUAUGAAAUAAUUGUCCAAUUUAAUGAGUUCAAUUUUGUUUUUUAUUUAGCCCAGAAUGUGGGGAAAAAGACAACUCAUUGACUACAAAAAAGAAAUGAUGUAGAACAGAUGACGGAAACAAUCGAAAAUGAGUUGAAGAGACUCACGCGCAAGGAUAAAUCGAACAAACUGCAUAUUUGGGCUCCGAAUUCAAAAUCAGGCCCAUGAUUCGUUGAUUCGAAUAGAACGACGUCAUGAGUAAAGCUUAUUUCUUAGCCAUGUUGUAUGGGCUUUUUCGGGCACCCGAGAUUGUUUAGAAAUUCGAAAUCUAGUUUUAAAGUUUUUACAAUUUUUAGAAACUUUUUUAUUUUUUUAUUUUAAUUCCUUGAUUAAUCCUAAGGUUUCUAGGAGUAUUUAAACAAAUUUUACCUGUGACUAGAGUUAUGUUUUAUUAUUUCAAUUAUCAAAUAAAUCUUGAAAUUUCCUAUAAGGUUGUAUAUGCUUGGCCCAUUGGCCCUUUGAGUAGGGCCUGGGCUUAGUUUAUUGAAGAUAGGGCUGACCCGAUUCUGUCAACUUUAUUUGCGCAUGAAAAAAACACCCAUAUAUAAUCGCAUUGUCUGCGUGGAUUAAAUUCAUACAAAAAAGAGGAGUGGGCUGGAGGAGCAAAGACAAAGCCAAGUGUUGCGACUCGAAUGGUGCAUAACCCGAGCAAAGUAAGCUGACAAGACAGCGCAGGACCUGUUUCAAAGGCCAUCCUCCUCCACAUAAAAAUGAAAUUCCCUUCUUUUUUUCUUUCGCAGCCUGACAAGUACUAAGAAUUAAACCCACUCCAAUAAAAACCAAAAAAAAAAAAAGAAUUAAACCCACUCCAACAGAACCAUUCACAAAAGUAAGUAAGAUGCCACAUUUUCUACUGUCACGAUACAAAAUCAACGGUGGAGAUCGCAUUUAUCAACUUCAAGUGCAUCUGUCACCGUCGAAUUGCUCAGGUUUCGUACCUAGUUUUCCCAAAAGAUACCGGAAGUAUGAAAAAAAACAGAGAAUAAUAGAAAAAGGUAUGUAAUUGUUUGUCCUUAAAAGGGAAAAAUUCAGUUUGAAAUUCAUUUUAAUCCCUUCCUUCGUUAAACAGUCAGCCAGCAGGAGAAGCAGCCAUUUCUCUCUCCCAUUCUCUUAGUUUUUCUGAGAACACCAAAACUUCAGACCCUGAAACCCCCCAAAAAGGUAAACAUUAAACAAAGAGAGGAAAACCCAGAAUUUUAAUUAGUUAAUUAAUGGUUUUUCCUCUUUUUCCUCCUCCUCUUCUUCUUCUUCUUCUUCUUCUUCUUCUUCUUUGUGCUUUGGUACUCUAGGCAUGUUGCUGUGAACUUGUGACCUAUUUUGGUUGGUGGGUUUUUCUGGGUUUUUUUUUUUUCACUUAGAUCUGGGGGCCAUUAAAUGUUUAAAAUUUACAAGAAACCCAGGAAAUGUUGUGUAGUUUUUUAGUGUAUGAACAUAAUAAUGUGAAAAGUGGUUGGUUUGAAUUUUUUUGAAGGGGGGAUGGUGAAGACGAUGAGGAAGAAGAUCAAGAUCAAGAAGAUUGACUACUUGCCUGCAAGGCAGGUGACCUUCUCAAAGAGGAGGAGAGGGAUCUUCAAGAAAGCUG
Molecule: long non-coding RNA, 9285 nt
Filed under: Prunus persica (peach)
Lineage: Eukaryota; Viridiplantae; Streptophyta; Magnoliopsida; Rosales; Rosaceae
Description: long non-coding RNA (PPER_LNC001588)
Source: RNAcentral